UGGCUUAGAUGGUAAAGUGUCUGCCUGAAAUGCAGGAGACAGGGAUUCAAUCCCU
This 55-nucleotide transfer RNA is filed under the name Bos taurus (domestic cattle). It matches the Rfam family "tRNA", at positions 8 to 63 of the family's 71-position model. Rfam says of the family: Transfer RNA (tRNA) molecules are approximately 80 nucleotides in length. Their secondary structure includes four short double-helical elements and three loops (D, anti-codon, and T loops). The record is from Rfam by way of RNAcentral. RNAcentral also lists the same sequence under 5 other names. Lineage: Eukaryota; Metazoa; Chordata; Mammalia; Artiodactyla; Bovidae.